Podarcis lilfordi (Lilford's wall lizard) is the source of this 84-nucleotide non-coding RNA. Lineage: Eukaryota; Metazoa; Chordata; Lepidosauria; Squamata; Lacertidae. The record is from the annotation of a GenBank genome assembly.
GCUACAUAACUGGAUAGCUCAGUUGGUUAGAACGUGGUGCUGAUAACCCCAAAGUCGUGGGUUCAAUCUUCAUAUGGGACAGCU